Molecule: small nucleolar RNA, 131 nt
Filed under: Bison bison bison
Lineage: Eukaryota; Metazoa; Chordata; Mammalia; Artiodactyla; Bovidae
Source: RNAcentral
UUGGCCCUGAAUCAAGGCCAGCAGUUUGCUGAAGCUGUUGGUUUCAAACAGGAGCCUAAAGAAGUCUCUUUCCACUGAUGUACAGAACAGUCUUAUGGACUCUGUGGGAGAGGGAGAGGGUGGGAAGAUUU